CGAUCCUGGCUCAGGAUGAACGCUAGCGGCAGGCUUAACACAUGCAAGUCGAGGGGCAUCGGGAGUAGCAAUACUGCCGGCGACCGGCGCAAGGGUGCGUAACGCGUGAGCAACAUGCCCGUAUCAGGGGGAUAAUCCAUGGAAACGUGGUCUAAUACCCCAUAGUAAUUAUGUAAGGCAUCUUAUAUAAUUUAAAGCUUUGGUGGAUACGGAUUGGCUCGCGUGACAUUAGCUGGAUGGUAAGGUAACGGCUUACCAUGGCUACGAUGUCUAGGGGUUCUGAGAGGAAGGUCCCCCACACUGGAACUGAGACACGGUCCAGACUCCUACGGGAGGCAGCAGUGAGGAAUAUUGGACAAUGGAUGGAAAUCUGAUCCAGCCAUGCCGCGUGCCAGGAAGACGGCCCUAUGGGUUGUAAACUGCUUUUGUAUGGGAGCAAUAAGGGCUACGUGUAGUCCGAUGAGAGUACCAUACGAAUAAGCACCGGCUAACUCCGUGCCAGCCGCAGC
RNAcentral lists this ribosomal RNA (509 nucleotides) under uncultured bacterium. RNAcentral's name for it is "bacterial SSU rRNA". It matches the Rfam family "Bacterial small subunit ribosomal RNA", at positions 14 to 518 of the family's 1533-position model. The record is from RNAcentral.